This 316-nucleotide ribosomal RNA is filed under the name uncultured eukaryote. Its description in RNAcentral is "partial 18S ribosomal RNA". It matches the Rfam family "Eukaryotic small subunit ribosomal RNA", at positions 1470 to 1796 of the family's 1831-position model. The record is from RNAcentral.
CCCUUAGAUGUUCUGGGCCGCACGCGUGCUACACUGACCGGCGCAACAAGUUUCUUUCCUUGGCUCGAUAGGCCUGGGUAAUCUUUGAACGCCGGUCGUGAUGGGGAUAGAUCCUUGCAAUUUUUGAUCUUCAACGAGGAAUUCCUAGUAAAUGCGAGUCAUCGUCUCGCGUUGAUUACGUCCCUGCCCUUUGUACACACCGCCCGUCGCACCUACCGAUUGAAUGGUCCGGUGAAGCCUCGGGAUUGCGAAUGCUUCGUGCGGACGCGAGAACUUGGCUAAACCUUACCAUUUAGAGGAAGGUGAAGUCGUAACA